Molecule: ribosomal RNA, 407 nt
Filed under: uncultured bacterium
Lineage: Bacteria
Description: bacterial SSU rRNA
Rfam family: Bacterial small subunit ribosomal RNA
Source: RNAcentral
UGGGGAAUAUUGGGCAAUGGGCGCAAGCCUGACCCAGCAACGCCGCGUGAGGGAAGAAGGCUUUCGGGUUGUAAACCUCUGUCCUUGGUGACGAAGGAAGUGACGGUAGCCAAGGAGGAAGCCCCGGCUAACUACGUGCCAGCAGCCGCGGUAAUACGUAGGGGGCGAGCGUUGUCCGGAAUUACUGGGCGUAAAGGGUGCGUAGGCGGUCUUUUAAGUUGGAUGUGAAAUCCCCGGGCUUAACUUGGGGUCUGCAUCCAAUACUGGGAGACUAGAGUGCAGGAGAGGGAAGCGGAAUUCCUAGUGUAGCGGUGAAAUGCGUAGAUAUUAGGAGGAACACCAGUGGCGAAGGCGGCUUUCUGGACUGUAACUGACGCUGAGGCACGAAAGCGUGGGGAGCAAACAGG